Molecule: small nuclear RNA, 23 nt
Filed under: Arabidopsis thaliana (thale cress)
Lineage: Eukaryota; Viridiplantae; Streptophyta; Magnoliopsida; Brassicales; Brassicaceae
Description: snRNA_07414
Source: RNAcentral
AAAGGAAUACUUAAUGACGAUAA